CUACGGGCUGCAGCAGUCGCGAAAACUUUACAAUGCGCGAAAGCGUGAUAAGGGGAUCCAGAGUGCUUACUUUCGAGUAGGCUUUUGUUAAGUAUAAAUAGCUUGAUGAAUAAGUGGUGGGUAAUACUGGUGCCAGCCGCCGCGGUAACACCAGAGCCACAAGUGGCAAUCACGAUUAUUGGGCCUAAAGGGUUCGUAGCUGACUCAAUAAAUCCUUUGUGAAAUUGUUAGACUUAAUUUAACAGUGGGCAAAGGAGACUGUUGGGUUUGAGACCAGGAAGAGGCAGGAGCAUUCUAGGGGGAGCGGUAAAAUGUUAUAAUCCCUAGAGGACUACCAAUGGCGAAGGCACCUGUCUAGAGUGGGUCUGACAGUGAUGAACGAAGGCUAGGGGAGCAAUCCGGAUUAGAUACCCCAGUAGUC
Molecule: ribosomal RNA, 421 nt
Filed under: uncultured archaeon
Lineage: Archaea
Description: partial 16S ribosomal RNA
Rfam family: Archaeal small subunit ribosomal RNA
Source: RNAcentral